RNAcentral lists this unclassified non-coding RNA (350 nucleotides) under soil metagenome. RNAcentral describes it as "partial contains 5.8S ribosomal RNA, internal transcribed spacer 2, and large subunit ribosomal RNA". The stretch from base 1 to 120 matches the Rfam family "5.8S ribosomal RNA", at positions 35 to 154 of the family's 154-position model. The record is from RNAcentral.
GAUGAAGAACGUAGCGAAAUGCGAUAAGUAGUGUGAAUUGCAGAAUUCAGUGAGUCAUCGAAUCUUUGAACGCACAUUGCGCCCGCCGGCACUCCGGCGGGCAUGCCUGUCCGAGCGUCAUUUCAACCCUCAGGACCCCCUUUCGGGGGGGACCUGGUGCUGGGGAUCAGCGGCCUCCGGGCCCCUGUCCCCCAAAUUGAGUGGCGGUCGCGCCGCAGCCUCCCCUGCGUAGUAGCACACCUCGCACCGGAGAGCGGCUCGGCCACGCCGUGAAACCCCCAAUUUUUUAAGGUUGACCUCGGAUCAGGUAGGAAUACCCGCUGAACUUAAGCAUAUCAAUAAGCGGAGGA